Molecule: ribosomal RNA, 446 nt
Filed under: Afrixalus fornasini (leaf-folding frog)
Lineage: Eukaryota; Metazoa; Chordata; Amphibia; Anura; Hyperoliidae
Description: partial large subunit ribosomal RNA
Rfam family: Bacterial large subunit ribosomal RNA
Source: RNAcentral
UCAACUGUCUCCUUCCUCCAAUCAAUGAAAUUGAUCUUCUCGUGAAGAAGCGAGAAUAUUAUUAUUAGACGAGAAGACCCCAUGGAGCUUUAAACUCAUUACCAAUUACUUAACCACUAAACCAUAAUAUGUAGUAAAAAUGUUCUUAAUAGUUUUCGGCUGGGGUGGCCCUGGAGUAAAACAAAUCCUCCAGAAUGAACGGAAUAAAGCCCUAAUCUAAGAAUUACAGCUCAAAGAAUCAAAAAACUGACAUUAUUGAUCCAAUUAAUUGAUUAACGAAACAAGUUACCCUGGGGAUAACAGCGCAAUCCAUUUUGAGAGCCCCUAUCAACAAAUGGGUUUACGACCUCGAUGUUGGAUCGGGGUAUCCCGGUGGCGCAGCCGCUACUAAUGGUUCGUUUGUUCAACGAUUAAUAACCCCACGUGAUCUGAGUUCAAACCNGAUC